AGUAUACAGGCCUAAAGUAUUCUUAAUUUUGAAGGAAUUUGAUCUAUCUAAGAAUUGUUGGCUGUUUUCCAAAACAAACCCAAAAAACAUUCUUCCAUGACAGGACGUUAUUUUCUCUUUACGCAUUGCUGAUAAAAAUCAGUCAAACUUCCUUCACAGCAGGUGCAAGAACAGCUUAGAAGAACAAAGAAGGACUCCUACAUACUCGUUUUAUCUCCGACUUCAUCAUGAGAUUAUUUCUGGUUUCACAGCUUCUGCUGGUGUUCAUAUCAGUCCUGGCACUGACCAGGGCACAAACAACAACAACUGACACAAC
Non-coding RNA from Pimephales promelas (fathead minnow), 316 nucleotides. NCBI's taxonomy places the organism in Eukaryota, Metazoa, Chordata, Actinopteri, Cypriniformes, Leuciscidae. The record is from RefSeq and is a predicted model, not a curated record.